UUUGAUCAUGGCUCAGAUUGAACGCUGGCGGCAGGCCUAACACAUGCAAGUCGAGCGGUAGCACAAGAGAGCUUGCUCUCUGGGUGACGAGCGGCGGACGGGUGAGUAAUGUCUGGGAAACUGCCUGAUGGCGGGGGAUAACUAGUGGAAACGGUAGCUAAUACCGCAUAACGUCGCAAGACCAAAGUGGGGGACCUUCGGGCCUCACGCCAUCAGAUGUGCCCAGGUGGGAUUAGCUGGUAGGUGGGGUAACGGCUCACCUAGGCGACGAUCCCUAGCUGGUCUGAGAGGAUGACCAGCCACACUGGAACUGAGACACGGUCCAGACUCCUACGGGAGGCAGCAGUGGGGAAUAUUGCACAAUGGGCGCAAGCCUGAUGCAGCCAUGCCGCGUGUGUGAAGAAGGCCUUCGGGUUGUAAAGCACUUU
Molecule: ribosomal RNA, 428 nt
Filed under: Serratia symbiotica
Lineage: Bacteria; Pseudomonadati; Pseudomonadota; Gammaproteobacteria; Enterobacterales; Yersiniaceae
Description: bacterial SSU rRNA
Rfam family: Bacterial small subunit ribosomal RNA
Source: RNAcentral